This 364-nucleotide long non-coding RNA is filed under the name Citrus sinensis (sweet orange). RNAcentral's name for it is "long non-coding RNA (CSIN_LNC001793)". The record is from RNAcentral. Lineage: Eukaryota; Viridiplantae; Streptophyta; Magnoliopsida; Sapindales; Rutaceae.
UCUUCUCCACCACCACCACCACCGUAUUGUGUCCGCCCUCCACCACCUCCGCCAAAUUCUCCUCCACCGCCUCCUCCACUGUACUCCUCACCACCGCCAAACCCUUACAUUUAUAGCUCACCACCACCUCCGCCACAUCACUCACCACCUCCACCGCCACAUUCACCCCCACCUCCUAUUUAUCCAUACCAAUCUCCCCCGCCACCUCCACCAGUCCAUUCACCACCACCUCCAUCCCCACCCCCUUGUAUAGAACCACCUCCCCCUCCACCACCACCAUGUGUAGAAUAUUCGCCCCCACCUCCAUUGCCUUCACCUCCACCGCCAACUCAUUAUAAGCCCCCGCCAUCGCCAUCACCACCAC